This 466-nucleotide ribosomal RNA is filed under the name uncultured bacterium. RNAcentral describes it as "partial 16S ribosomal RNA". It matches the Rfam family "Bacterial small subunit ribosomal RNA", at positions 30 to 507 of the family's 1533-position model. The record is from RNAcentral.
CGAACGCUGGCGGCGUGCUUAACACAUGCAAGUCGAACGGAAAGGCCCUGCUUUUGUGGGGUGCUCGAGUGGCGAACGGGUGAGUAACACGUGAGUAACCUGCCCUUGACUUUGGGAUAACUUCAGGAAACUGGGGCUAAUACCGGAUAGGAGCUCCUGCUGCACGGUGGGGGUUGGAAAGUUUCGGCGGUUGGGGAUGGACUCGCGGCUUAUCAGCUUGUUGGUGGGGUAGUGGCUUACCAAGGCUUUGACGGGUAGCCGGCCUGAGAGGGUGACCGGCCACAUUGGGACUGAGAUACGGCCCAGACUCCUACGGGAGGCAGCAGUGGGGAAUAUUGCACAAUGGGCGGAAGCCUGAUGCAGCAACGCCGCGUGCGGGAUGACGGCCUUCGGGUUGUAAACCGCUUUCGCCUGUGACGAAGCGUGAGUGACGGUAAUGGGUAAAGAAGCACCGGCUAACUACGUG